CUACGGGCUGCUGCAGUGGGGAAUACUGCACAAUGGAGGAAACUCUGAUGCAGCAACGCCGCGUGGAGGAUGACACUUUUCGGAGCGUAAACUCCUUUUAUAUAGGAAGAAGAUGACGGUACUAUAUGAAUAAGCGCCGGCUAACUCCGUGCCAGCGAGCCGCGGUAAUACGGAGGGCGCAAGCGUUACUCGGAAUCACUGGGCGUAAAGAGCGUGUAGGCGGAUUAAAAAGUCAGAAGUGAAAUCCUAUAGCUUAACUAUAGAACUGCUUCUGAAACUCUUAAUCUAGAAUAUGGGAGAGGUAGAUGGAAUUUCUGGUGUAGGGGUAAAAUCCGUAGAGAUCAGAAGGAAUACCGAUUGCGAAGGCGAUCUACUAGAACAUUAUUGACGCUGAGACGCGAAAGCGUGGGGAGCAAACAGGAUUAGAUACCCGGGUAGUC
RNAcentral lists this ribosomal RNA (440 nucleotides) under uncultured bacterium. RNAcentral describes it as "partial 16S ribosomal RNA". It matches the Rfam family "Bacterial small subunit ribosomal RNA", at positions 339 to 795 of the family's 1533-position model. The record is from RNAcentral.